RNAcentral lists this non-coding RNA (194 nucleotides) under uncultured Bacteroides sp. The record is from RNAcentral. Lineage: Bacteria; Pseudomonadati; Bacteroidota; Bacteroidia; Bacteroidales; Bacteroidaceae.
GUCCCUCUACGGGGAUAGGAUGAAAAGGGAAUCGGGUGCAAAUCCCGGACAGUCCCGCUGCUGUGAGUUUUAUUCACUCUUGAGAGGAGCAAUCCUCUACAAUAAAAAAGGGUGGGCGCACAUCAAUCUCUUAGCCACUGUCAAACUAUUGACGGGAAGGCGAUGGCGCUGAAACGAGUCAGAAGACCUGCAAA